AUCACAGCGUGCGAGAGGACGGUCGCGGUUCUCUAGGCGCAGCGACUGAUGCCAAUCGCUGCCGGGAGCGGGGUUGGCGCCGAGCAGGCAUACAUACGCUUAAAAUAAAAUAACCAUCAAGGGAAGGCAAGGAAGAAGCAUGUGCACGUUGAAGCUCGUGCCUCACUGCCUGAUGAUGGUGAAACGCCCUCAUGGCGCAUGGGAGGGGGGCCCCUGUAGUGCUGUCUGCCCAAGUGCCGAGCACGACCAGAGCAGGUGCGGACAGCAGCACGCAUGGUGUUUUGAUCACACACGACACACGGCCUCGGCGUCCCGUCCCGCCUGCCUGCACCUAAUCCAUAUUCUAUCCGCUGUCGUAUUCGCGUGGCAUGCAGGCUAGCCGGCCGGUCGGCCGGUGAGCAACUGUAAAACCCGCGACGCGCCAACACUCGGUUCCUGGAGCUGAUGGCCGUUCUCGUCUUCCUGGCGAUCGCCCUGGUUAGAGAAAGCUGUGCGGGAUCGAUGGACCGUUGAACGGAGGCGCGUCUGCUCUGCCGCAUGUAUUAUAUUGAUUCAGGUGGACGGUCGGGUUUCAGAGAGACUGCUGCUCAAGUCUUUUUACGUGGGACUGUGGGAGUGCAGCUGCUGCAUCCAUCGAUCGCAGCGCUAGGUUCUCCAGAAACCGAGGCAAGAGGAGUGCUUGUGGUACCUCUUCAUCUAGCGUGCACAACACCCACCCGCUACUACUGUAGUAGCCGUAGGGGGCACCGUUGAAGAAGUAGAGGGAGUACUGGCGCCGUCACAGGGAGGGGAGAGGCCACCGUUGAUUCGUUGAAGCCAGUCUGAACGGUGGUGCCUGGACAAGUAGCGCCUGGGCCCCAGCUGCUCAGACUUCGGACAACCAGUGGAUCGUGAUCUGUGCCUUGUGCGUUCAAUGCUACUGGUGGUAGCAAUAGCAUUGAAGCAAACGUCACGCAGGCAGAGAACGCGAGGCUGCGCUGUUACUCACGUUUUCCUUUUCUUGUGCUACUUCUGAACAUCAGAAUCAGUGCUCCGUUAGAAGUGCACUCUUGUCCGUACGAUGGCAUCUAGCUGAUCACAUUUCAUCGUCA
Zea mays is the source of this 1091-nucleotide long non-coding RNA. RefSeq lists it as uncharacterized. Lineage: Eukaryota; Viridiplantae; Streptophyta; Magnoliopsida; Poales; Poaceae. The transcript has 4 exons. The record is from RefSeq and is a predicted model, not a curated record.